GGGGCCAUCGUCCAACUGGGAGGACACGAGGCUGGCAGUCUCGGAAUCGGGGUUCGAGUCCCCGUGGUUCCACUA
This 75-nucleotide transfer RNA is filed under the name Syntrophobacteraceae bacterium. RNAcentral describes it as "tRNA-Ala". It matches the Rfam family "tRNA". Rfam says of the family: Transfer RNA (tRNA) molecules are approximately 80 nucleotides in length. Their secondary structure includes four short double-helical elements and three loops (D, anti-codon, and T loops). The record is from RNAcentral. Lineage: Bacteria; Pseudomonadati; Thermodesulfobacteriota; Syntrophobacteria; Syntrophobacterales; Syntrophobacteraceae.